This is an RNA transcript of Eptesicus fuscus (big brown bat), 1948 nucleotides long. It is a transcript of the gene named serine/threonine-protein kinase MARK2-like, with no coding region annotated. The record is from RefSeq and is a predicted model, not a curated record. NCBI's taxonomy places the organism in Eukaryota, Metazoa, Chordata, Mammalia, Chiroptera, Vespertilionidae. The transcript is spliced from 2 exons.
UGAUUUUUGGUGACCUGUGGACUUGGACUCCUUAGCUUGUUUUGGCGUUGUUUUUUCAUUUUGUUAUUUUUUUCUUUUUAUUUUGAAGGUGCCAUGUUUAAUGCCUUUGCAGCCCACUCUGCCAACAAGGAGCGCUGUAUUGGCGAUUACCUCCUCUUGGACACCAUCGGCAAGGGAUGGUUUGCCGAGGUGUGGUUGGCCCGGCAUUUGCUGACCAGGGCACAGGUGGUUGUAAAAGCCAUUAGACGGCAGGGCAUCUCUAGAUAUUUUCAAGAGGUCCAUUGUUUUAAGAAAUUAAAUCACCCAAAUAUCACAAAGUUAUUUGAGGUGAUUGCCACCAAGGACAAGUUUUUUCUCGUUAUGGAGCAUGUGAGCGGAGGGGACUUACUUGAGUACUUGGAGAACUAUGGCCAAAUGAAUGAGGGGGAAGCCCGCACCGUGUUCCGGCAGGUAGUAUCCGCGGUCCAGUACUGCCACCAGCGGGGUAUUGUCCACAGGGACCUGAAGCCAGACAACAUUCUCGUAGACAGUGAUAUGACCGUUAAAUUAGCAGACUUUGGCUUCAGUAGGGAAGUGAGCAAUGAUAAACAGAGCACCUUCUGUGGCACCAUCUGCUAUUCGGCCCCAGAGAUCUUGCAGCGUCAUACCUAUGAUGGCCGCAAAACGGAUGUAUGGAGCCUGGGGGUGGUCUUGUACAGGAUGCUGACAGGGGUGGUGCCGUUUGAGGGGGACAACUUUGUGAACGUGAAGAGGCAGAUAAUAAGUGGACAUUACCAUCUACCACACUUCAUGUCAAGGGAGGUUAAAAAACUUUUAAGAAAAUUACUCACUGUCAACCCUAGCCGAAGACCGACCCUGGAAGAUGUAAUGAAGGACCCCUGGCUCAACAAGGGCCAGGAGGAGACGCUGAGGCCAUACAGCGAGCUGCCCUGGGGUGACUUGGACCCCCAGGUAACAGAAAUGAUGCAGAGCCUCGGCUUUAAGCAGGAUGACAUCCAGGAGUCAGUAGCACAAAGAAAAUUUGACAGAGUGAUGAGCACAUACCUGAUCCUCAGAAUGAUGAAAACCAAGAUGCCAGGCCGCACCAUCAGGGUAAGGCCCUACUCCUCCCCUGACACCAGUAGCAUGUCCUCAAGCCAAGAGGUUGGUCAGCCAUUUGAUGAGAAGACCAAAGGGCCUUCUAUUCCCCCAAACUGCCUGAGGUUGAGGGUAACCACUCUCCCACCCAACCUGGAAACCAUGACCACCACUCCCCCAGAGCACAGUACAGACGCCCCCAGCGCAGACCUCCAGCUUGGCUCUGCGGGCUCCCCCUCCACCCAGAGCAGCAGCAGCACCAGCGGAGGUGGUGGAGCCCUAGAGGGAGCCGCCCAUGAAAGCUGCCUUCAAGCUAGGCAGCCUGAGUGUGGCACCCCAGCCUCUCCCUCUGGCCAGACCCAGGGUCGGCAGGGCGUGGCUAGGAGGGCCUUGCAGUUUUUCUUAAGAUUCACAUGCUGUGGGCCAUCUACCAAGAAGAAACAUCUCAAAAGAACAAAAGUCAAACCAGUGUGAUUUUUAAAGUUGUGGACGGUUAAGGCAGGGCCACAGUCAACUUAAAGGUGCGGAGCUCCAGGAAGGCCGGCCAGUGGUAUGGGCGAUGAACCAGAGGUUGGAGGCAAACAGCUGGAGGAUCCACAUCAGGAGGGUAUCCAGCAGCGCCUAGGUCUUCUUCUGAUCUUACCCACCACGAUGCCUGCGGAGCUUGUAGGACUGCCUGGAGCCCCCAGAGGUCAAGAGGAGAGGCUGCCCUCGCUGUGGGUUCAUCCCUCAGUCCCCACCUGACUGAGACCAGAGACUGGACUUUUUCCUGGGUCCCUUCCCUCCCCUGCUCUUGUGCUCCCAUGUUUUUGAGUUGUUUAUUAAACUAUUUGGUUCUCUCAAAUUUUAUAAUAAACUUGAUGUUCCAGAA